RNAcentral lists this ribosomal RNA (349 nucleotides) under uncultured bacterium. RNAcentral describes it as "bacterial SSU rRNA". It matches the Rfam family "Bacterial small subunit ribosomal RNA", at positions 917 to 1267 of the family's 1533-position model. The record is from RNAcentral.
GGACCCGCACAAGCGGUGGAGCAUGUGGUUUAAUUCGAUGCAACGCGAAAAAACCUUACCUACUCUUGACAUACUUGGGAGCUCUUGUAAUGAGAGUGUGCCUUUUGGAACCAAGAUACAGGUGCUGCAUGGCUGUCGUCAGCUCGUGUCGUGAGAUGUUCCGUUAAGUCGGAUAACGAGCGCAACCCUUACCCUUAUUUGCCAGCGAUCGGUCGGGAACUAUAAGGGGACUGCCGGUGAUAAGCCGGAGGAAGGUGGGGAUGACGUCAAGUCCUCAUGGCCCUUAUGGGCUGGGCUACACACGUGCUACAAUGGUGCUGACAGAGGGCAGCUAGCUCGCGAGAGUAAG